GAAAGGACAAUGAUCAGAAUAGUAGGUGAAUCGAUUUGUUUUAGAGAGUUUCCGUUUGCUGCAAGGAAAUAACGAAUCAUCAUCGAACACGCCUGUAAGUUGUUUUUCUGAAAUAAGAAGUUUAGUUUAGCGAAGUUUGAUUCGUUUUCUAGAUGAGUAGGAAAAAUCGGUGAGUCCGUUAUCACUCCUUAGUUUAUCGAACUAACAGAGGUUUUUACUGUGAAGUAAAAACAAAUCUGAGGUGGGACCACGUGAAAAAUUUCUCGUCCUCUUG
This 274-nucleotide non-coding RNA is filed under the name Enterococcus haemoperoxidus. RNAcentral describes it as "T-box sequence". It matches the Rfam family "T-box leader". From Rfam's summary of the family: Uncharged tRNA acts as the effector for transcription antitermination of genes in the T-box leader family. T-boxes are found upstream of many aminoacyl-tRNA synthetase genes and some amino acid biosynthetic genes usually in Gram-positive bacteria. Lineage: Bacteria; Bacillati; Bacillota; Bacilli; Lactobacillales; Enterococcaceae. The record is from RNAcentral.